RNAcentral lists this small nuclear RNA (158 nucleotides) under Erinaceus europaeus (western European hedgehog). RNAcentral's name for it is "7SK RNA". It matches the Rfam family "7SK RNA", at positions 1 to 187 of the family's 331-position model. From Rfam's summary of the family: 7SK was discovered as an abundant small nuclear RNA in the mid-70s but a possible function has only recently been suggested. Lineage: Eukaryota; Metazoa; Chordata; Mammalia; Eulipotyphla; Erinaceidae. The record is from Rfam by way of RNAcentral.
AGAUGUGAGGGUGAUUGUCUGAGACAUCUGUCACCCCACUGAUGGCCAGGGUUGACUCAAUUGAUCUGGCUGGCUAGGUGGGUGUCCCCUUCCUUCCUCACCUCUUCAUGUGCGUCUCUCCCCCAGCUGGAUAUUUAGGAGUAACAAUAUUUGGUGUU